This 213-nucleotide ribosomal RNA is filed under the name Ignavibacteriaceae bacterium. Its description in RNAcentral is "partial 23S ribosomal RNA". It matches the Rfam family "Bacterial large subunit ribosomal RNA", at positions 2714 to 2925 of the family's 2925-position model. The record is from RNAcentral. Lineage: Bacteria; Pseudomonadati; Ignavibacteriota; Ignavibacteria; Ignavibacteriales; Ignavibacteriaceae.
GUACCAAUUAUCGCGCCAGCGGUAUCGUUGGGUAGCUAUGUACGGUUGUGAUAAGCGCUGAAAGCAUCUAAGCGCGAAGCACGCUUCAAGAUAAGGUAUCCCUUACGUAAGUAACUAAAGACUCCUCCGAGAUGACGAGGUUGAUAGGCUGCAGGUGUAAGUUCUGUAAAGAAUUCAGCCAAGCAGUACUAAUAAGUCGUGAGGCUUACCCAU